This 98-nucleotide microRNA precursor is filed under the name Camelus bactrianus (Bactrian camel). RNAcentral's name for it is "mir-544 microRNA precursor family". It matches the Rfam family "mir-544 microRNA precursor family". RNAcentral also lists the same sequence under 2 other names. The record is from Rfam by way of RNAcentral. Lineage: Eukaryota; Metazoa; Chordata; Mammalia; Artiodactyla; Camelidae.
AUCAUCUGGGCAUCUUGUUAAAAUACAGAUUCUGAUUCAGUAAGUCUGGGAUGGAGGCUGAGAUUCUGCAUUUCUAACAAGCUUUCAGGUGAUGCUCA